This 1021-nucleotide ribosomal RNA is filed under the name Cryptocoryneum condensatum. RNAcentral describes it as "SSU rRNA". It matches the Rfam family "Eukaryotic small subunit ribosomal RNA", at positions 75 to 1103 of the family's 1831-position model. RNAcentral also lists the same sequence under 4 other names. Lineage: Eukaryota; Fungi; Ascomycota; Dothideomycetes; Pleosporales. The record is from RNAcentral.
UAUACCGUGAAACUGCGAAUGGCUCAUUAAAUCAGUUAUCGUUUAUUUGAUAGUACCUUACUACUUGGAUAACCGUGGUAAUUCUAGAGCUAAUACAUGCUAAAAACCCCAACUUCGGGAGGGGUGUAUUUAUUAGAUAAAAAACCAAUGCCCUUCGGGGCUCUUUGGUGAUUCAUGAUAACUUAACGGAUCGCAUGGCCUUGCGCCGGCGACGGUUCAUUCAAAUUUCUGCCCUAUCAACUUUCGAUGGUAAGGUAUUGGCUUACCAUGGUUUCAACGGGUAACGGGGAAUUAGGGUUCGAUUCCGGAGAGGGAGCCUGAGAAACGGCUACCACAUCCAAGGAAGGCAGCAGGCGCGCAAAUUACCCAAUCCCGACUCGGGGAGGUAGUGACAAUAAAUACUGAUACAGGGCUCUUUUGGGUCUUGUAAUCGGAAUGAGUACAAUUUAAACCCCUUAACGAGGAACAAUUGGAGGGCAAGUCUGGUGCCAGCAGCCGCGGUAAUUCCAGCUCCAAUAGCGUAUAUUAAAGUUGUUGCAGUUAAAAAGCUCGUAGUUGAACCUUGGGCCUGGCUGGCCGGUCCGCCUCACCGCGUGUACUGGUCCGGCCGGGCCUUUCCUUCUGGAGAGCCGCAUGCCCUUCACUGGGUGUGUCGGGGAACCAGGACUUUUACUUUGAAAAAAUUAGAGUGUUCAAAGCAGGCCUUUGCUCGAAUACGUUAGCAUGGAAUAAUAGAAUAGGACGUGCGGUCCUAUUUUGUUGGUUUCUAGGACCGCCGUAAUGAUUAAUAGGGAUAGUCGGGGGCAUCAGUAUUCAAUUGUCAGAGGUGAAAUUCUUGGAUUUAUUGAAGACUAACUACUGCGAAAGCAUUUGCCAAGGAUGUUUUCAUUAAUCAGUGAACGAAAGUUAGGGGAUCGAAGACGAUCAGAUACCGUCGUAGUCUUAACCGUAAACUAUGCCGACUAGGGAUCGGGCGAUGUUUCUAUCUUGACUCGCUCGGCACCUUACGAGAAAUCAUAAG